Molecule: ribosomal RNA, 425 nt
Filed under: uncultured bacterium
Lineage: Bacteria
Description: partial 16S ribosomal RNA
Rfam family: Bacterial small subunit ribosomal RNA
Source: RNAcentral
GUGGGGAAUAUUGGACAAUGGGCGAAAGCCUGAUCCAGCAAUGCCGCGUGAGUGAUGAAGGCCUUAGGGUUGUAAAGCUCUUUUACCCGGGAUGAUAAUGACAGUACCGGGAGAAUAAGCUCCGGCUAACUCCGUGCCAGCAGCCGCGGUAAUACGGAGGGAGCUAGCGUUGUUCGGAAUUACUGGGCGUAAAGCGCACGUAGGCGGCUUUGUAAGUUAGAGGUGAAAGCCUGGAGCUUAACUCCAGAACUGCCUUUAAGACUGCAUCGCUUGAAUCCAGGAGAGGUGAGUGGAAUUCCGAGUGUAGAGGUGAAAUUCGUAGAUAUUCGGAAGAACACCAGUGGCGAAGGCGGCUCACUGGACUGGUAUUGACGCUGAGGUGCGAAAGCGUGGGGAGCAAACAGGAUUAGAUACCCUUGUAGUCC